UCCGUAGGGUGCAAGCGUUGUCCGGAAUUAUUGGGCGUAACGAGCUCGUAGGCGGUCUGUCGCGUCUGCUGUGAAAACUCGGGGCUUAACCCCGGGCCUGCAGUGGGUACGGGCAGACUAGAGUGCGGUAGGGGAGACUGGAAUUCCUGGUGUAGCGGUGAAAUGCGCAGAUAUCAGGAGGAACACCGGUGGCGAAGGCGGGUCUCUGGGCCGUAACUGACGCUGAGGAGCGAAAGCAUGGGGAGCGAACAGG
This 253-nucleotide ribosomal RNA is filed under the name uncultured bacterium. Its description in RNAcentral is "partial 16S ribosomal RNA". It matches the Rfam family "Bacterial small subunit ribosomal RNA", at positions 524 to 776 of the family's 1533-position model. The record is from RNAcentral.